Strongylocentrotus purpuratus (purple sea urchin) is the source of this 2541-nucleotide long non-coding RNA. RefSeq lists it as uncharacterized. The transcript has 5 exons. The record is from RefSeq and is a predicted model, not a curated record. NCBI's taxonomy places the organism in Eukaryota, Metazoa, Echinodermata, Echinoidea, Camarodonta, Strongylocentrotidae.
AAUCGAAUUGAGAGAUCGAGAGAGAAAGGAAAACGCGAGAGAUGGAAGGGGGAAACAGACGAUGCAUGUGAGUGGCGAGAAAGAGAGAACGACGAUCGAUGGGGAUGGGGUCUUUGGUGAUAAUUUUUCAUUUUAAUACGUUAUUGUAUACAGGAUUGAAACGCUGUAUAAAACCAUUCAGGAUCUCCCUGUUCAUCUACCAAUCAAUUAAUUAUUUCACAACUCAGAUGGCUUUCCAUAGUCAUGCAUUACAAAGGUAGCGUUACGUUGCCAAGCAUCAAGGACACACCGUACAGGCUUCCGAUACGAAUUAACAUCCUUUAUUGAGGUCUUGUUGAUCCAAGAAUGUACAAGUCGGUAAAACAAGAGCGUUUGUUGAAUGCUGUAGAGGUUGGAGAUCUUCAAGAGAUCACCAUCUCUCUUGAUCUGGGUGCAGGGAUCAAUGAUGUACCAUGGGGAACAGAGUCCUUAUUGAUGAGAGCAAUACGAUGUGGGCACAAGGAGGUGGCCAAAUUUCUCAUCAGAAAGGGCAUUGAUGUAAAUUAUAUUUAUGUGAAAUCAGACUCUCCCAGAAGUGAGACAAAGAACUACAGACAAGAGACUGCGAGAGAGUACGCAGAGUUCUUCAAAAUGCCUGAGAUUAUUGAGCUGAUUGACGCGCGGCGGAUAAUACUUCAGGCAACUCUGUGAUGAAGACAUUUGUUUUAUUCCAAACUCAGUUUUGGGGACAUAUGUGACCAAUUCGUGGAGUGUAAGGAAAGAACAUUGGGUGCGUUCACUUGAUUUCUACUGAAUCUUCUUAAAGGUGUAGCUGUAAUUCAUAUUCCUUGUGUGGUCUUGACUGUCUUGGCUCUAUUCACACUUCAAUUAUUCUCGUGAAAGAAAGCAAACUUGAAGAUCACAAUUGUUUCAGACAAUAUAUUAAUCAGUUAGGCCUUAAUUGUUCUUGUUUACGUAUGUUGUGGUCUAGUGGAUAAGUCUCUGGAAUGUGACAAGGUACAUGGUUCAAAUCCCUUUCACAGCAAGACAUUCUGCAUUUGCCACACUCAACCAGGUGAGCUAAAUGAGUACCUGGUAGGAUUAUUCCUUGAAAUGCACUAUGCAUAGAUAACAGGGAAAUAAUCUCCAAAGCUUACAGGGAUGUGAAAUGGGCUAUACGAGAAUAGAAUUUUUUUUUUCAUUAUUAAACCAUGUCAAGCACUAGCAAAAGAGAAGCUAUUUAACGUGCACUGAAUUGCAAGUGGGAGUUUAUUAAAAUAACUGCGAGUGACAGAGGCCUACAUACCCUAGGAUAUUAAGAUUUUAAGUACAGAUUUGUGACAUGCACUUUGUUCAUAUUACAUUUUGCUACACGUUUUUAGGCACUUUAUCAUUUCAUGUAUGAACAAAGCUUUAAGAGAUAUCAACAAAUAAUAUGUGCACAAAUAUAUACAGGAGGAAAUGUGCAAUUAUUAUGUAAUUAGCAAACCAGCAAAAUCAGUGAGUUUGGGGGACAAAAGUUUUCUUAAAGAUCAUUUAUCCAUAAUGUACAAUAUGUGUAGUCACAUAACAUAUGCACCCAAAAUUUGCAUCAUGAUCAGCAUUUUAAAAGUACUUCCUGAUAAUUUCUCAUGAAACGAAAUUCUAUUUUUGUAACUCAGUAUUUUCUUGUAAUAGAGUAUCUAGAGAUCAUAUUUCAUGUUCUUCUUUUUGUCAUGCCCUUAACAUGUAUCUACGCAUCAGUAUUUUAGAAGACAGAAUGUAUAUAUUCAAAGAUGUUUAAAAAGACGAGAGCAGAUCUUAAUAUUGAAAAAAUAUUACCAUUAACUCAUUAGAAAUACCAUAUCAUAAAAACAAUCUAAUAUUUUCAAAUUUCUCUCUCUAUUUAUAUUUGUAUUACAUCUCUUUAUAAUGUAUAAAAUGUUUAUGAUUUCAGAAAAAAAUAUUAAGUGAGUCCUUUUCGACUAAUACAUGUUGUUUGGAAUGGAUGACAACAAUAAGUCUACCCCAUUGUAUAAUUAAAGCAAUGUUCUCUCAAUUUCUUGUUAACAUGCUUUAAAAAGUGAUGAGAUAUGAAUCGCAACUCAAAAUUUUCAGCACAAACAUUUAAAGGAAUAUUUUUCAAUGACGAAUAGAAGCCCACCCCUCAGUCAAAUGACAUUCAGUUGUGCUUCCACCCCCCCUUCCCACACAGAAACAAAGUGAAAUGCCAUCAUAAAAAUUUUACUUGUGUUGUAGAUAUAAGUGCUUACUCUCUCAUGUUAUUUUGACACAAUAAGUAUAACUGUGAGCUGAAUCAUUGCGCAAAAUUUAAUUAUAUGUGAUAUAUGAUUGAUGAUUAUUUUACAUAUUUUGUACUUUGUGUGUAAGUAAAAAGUACCAGAUUUUGUUUUCUGUUAAGGAAUUAAUUUACAUCAAGAUAUUUAUCCAGCAGCAAAAGAAAUCAUUACUUUUGAGUCUUCUUUAAAGCAGUCUGUAAAAGCCCUUGAUGAGUAGCCUUUUCUUGAAGAGAAGUAUCUGAUUGGGAGAGUUAAUUGAUUAAAACAAAUUAUGAUUACAUAA